Molecule: long non-coding RNA, 646 nt
Filed under: Capra hircus (goat)
Lineage: Eukaryota; Metazoa; Chordata; Mammalia; Artiodactyla; Bovidae
Description: lncRNA (ENSCHIG00000008058.1)
Source: RNAcentral
GGUGGAAAUAGGAGGCCAGUUUAUUCUGAGAAAAACUUGAAGCUCUGUACACAUACAGUCCUCCCCAGGUCUUUCCCCCAGCCACAGAAGCAUAAGUCUGGAAGGUACAGGAAAACCUUCAGUUGCUGAAUCUGACUUCACUGAAGAAGCUAAAACAGUUCAGUGCAUUUUCAGCCCUCCAAAUAUUAGCUGUUACUGAUCCUCCGCCUCCCCCAGACCUCUCCUCACUACCUUGUAACCUGCUUUGUGACAAAUUUUGAGCUGACCCUGGAGUAUAGCAACAAACAAGACACCAUUCUUUCCCCGAGGCUCUCCCAGAAAAAUGACUGGACCACUAACUGGAAGACUAUGGGAUUGGUGCCUUUCUUAGGAAAUGUGCAAAGCUCUGUGUGGACACAGGUUCAGAUCUGGUUCUCUUUUUUGGAGGACUACCCUCAGGCUACUGCAGCCACCUCAAAAUCAAGAUCAAAGAGUCAGAUGUUCAUGUCCCUCUCUGGCUCCUUGUGAGGAUAGAUUUUGAAAUCUCCCUGGCCUCCAGAGUUCCCUGCAGGGUGACGCUGAAUCUACUCCAUGGAUCUUGGAGUGCCUGGUCUUCAUUUCUUCCUCCUCCUUCUGCUUUCCCCGCUUAGCCAGGUUCCUGGGAGAG